This 460-nucleotide ribosomal RNA is filed under the name uncultured bacterium. RNAcentral's name for it is "partial 16S ribosomal RNA". It matches the Rfam family "Bacterial small subunit ribosomal RNA", at positions 338 to 795 of the family's 1533-position model. The record is from RNAcentral.
CCUACGGGUGGCAGCAGUGAGGAAUAUUGGUCAAUGGGCGAGAGCCUGAACCAGCCAAGUAGCGUGAAGGAUGACGGCCCUACGGGUUGUAAACUUCUUUUGUCAGGGAGCAAGUGGGUCCACGUGUGGAUAUUUGCAUGUACCCUAUGAAUAAGCAUCGGCUAACUCCGUGCCAGCAGCCGCGGUAAUACGGCGGAUGCGAGCGUUAUCCGGAUUUAUUGGGUUUAAAGGGUGCGUAGGUUGUUUUUUAAGUCAGCGGUGAAAGUUUGUGGCUCAACCAUAAAAUUGCCGUUGAAACUGGAAGACUUGAGUGUAGUUGAGGUAGGCGGAAUGCGUGGUGUAGCGGUGAAAUGCAUAGAUAUCACGCAGAACUCCGAUUGCGAAGGCAGCUUACUAAGCCAUAACUGACACUGAAGCACGAAAGCGUGGGGAUCAAACAGGAUUAGAUACCCGAGUAGUC